RNAcentral lists this ribosomal RNA (465 nucleotides) under uncultured bacterium. RNAcentral describes it as "partial 16S ribosomal RNA". It matches the Rfam family "Bacterial small subunit ribosomal RNA", at positions 339 to 795 of the family's 1533-position model. The record is from RNAcentral.
CUACGGGCGGCUGCAGUGGGGAAUAUUGGACAAUGGGGGAAACCCUGAUCCAGCAAUGCCGCGUGUGUGAAGAAGGCCUGCGGGUUGUAAAGCACUUUCGGUUGGGAGGACUGCUUCUAGCACUAAUAUUGUUGGAAGUUGACGUUACCUUCAGAAGAAGCACCGGCUAACUCCGUGCCAGUAGCCGCGGUAAUACGGAGGGUGCAAGCGUGAAUCGGAAUUACUGGGCGUAAAGCGCGCGUAGGCGGCUAGAUCAGUCGGGUGUGAAAGCCCCGGGCUUAACCUGGGAACUGCAUCCGAUACUGUCUAGCUUGAGUACAGGAGAGGAGAGUGGAAUUCCACAUGUAGCGGUGAAAUGCGUAGAUAUGUGGAGGAACACCAAUGGCGAAGGCAGCUCUCUGGCCUGAUACUGACGCUGAGGUGCGAAAGCGUGGGGAGCAAACAGGAUUAGAUACCCCUGUAGUC